RNAcentral lists this ribosomal RNA (406 nucleotides) under uncultured bacterium. RNAcentral's name for it is "partial 16S ribosomal RNA". It matches the Rfam family "Bacterial small subunit ribosomal RNA", at positions 30 to 526 of the family's 1533-position model. The record is from RNAcentral.
AUUGAACGCUGGCGGCAGGCCUAACACAUGCAAGUCGAACGAGUGGCGGACGGGUGAGUAAUGUCUGGGAAACUGCCCGAUGGAGGGGGAUAACUACUGGAAACGGUAGCUAAUACCGCAUACCAUCGGAUGUGCCCAGAUGGGAUUAGCUAGUAGGUGGGGUAAAGGCUCACCUAGGCUACGAUCUCUAGCUGGUCGGAGAGGAUGACCAGCCACACUGGAACUGAGACACGGUCCAGACUCCUACGGGAGGCAGCAGUGGGGAAUAUUGCACAAUGGGCGAAAGCCUAAUGCAGCCAUGCCGCGUGUAUGAAGAAGGCCUUCGGGUUGUAAAGUACGUUCAGCGGGGAGGCGUUACUCGCAGAAGAAGCACCGGCUAACUCCGUGCCAGCAGCCGCGGGAAUUC